AAGAUUUUAGGUUAAUACAAACCUAUAGCCUUCAAAGUUAUUAAUAUAAAUAAAAAAUUUUUAAGUCUUA
RNAcentral lists this transfer RNA (70 nucleotides) under Evandromyia infraspinosa. RNAcentral's name for it is "tRNA-Trp". Lineage: Eukaryota; Metazoa; Arthropoda; Insecta; Diptera; Psychodidae. The record is from RNAcentral.